RNAcentral lists this ribosomal RNA (427 nucleotides) under uncultured Rikenellaceae bacterium. RNAcentral's name for it is "bacterial SSU rRNA". It matches the Rfam family "Bacterial small subunit ribosomal RNA", at positions 955 to 1382 of the family's 1533-position model. The record is from RNAcentral. Lineage: Bacteria; Pseudomonadati; Bacteroidota; Bacteroidia; Bacteroidales; Rikenellaceae.
UGAUACGCGAGGAACCUUACCCGGGCUCGAACGGUGCAGGAAUAUGGUAGAGAUAUCAUAGCUAGCAAUAGUCUGUAUCGAGGUGCUGCAUGGUUGUCGUCAGCUCGUGCCGUGAGGUGUCGGCUUAAGUGCCAUAACGAGCGCAACCCUUGUCGUUAGUUACCAUCAAGUAAUGUUGGGGACUCUAGCGAGACUGCCACCGUAAGGUGUGAGGAAGGGGGGGAUGACGUCAAAUCAGCACGGCCCUUACGUCCGGGGCGACACACGUGUUACAAUGGUAGGUACAGAGGGGCGCUAUCCAGCGAUGGAGUGCGAAUCUCAAAAACCUAUCUCAGUUCGGAUCGGAGUCUGCAACUCGACCCCGUGAAGUUGGAUUCGCUAGUAAUCGCGCAUCAGCCAUGGCGCGGUGAAUACGUUCCCGGGCCUU